Molecule: ribosomal RNA, 393 nt
Filed under: uncultured bacterium
Lineage: Bacteria
Description: partial 16S ribosomal RNA
Rfam family: Bacterial small subunit ribosomal RNA
Source: RNAcentral
AUACGGAAGGUCCGGGCGUUAUCCGGAUUUAUUGGGUUUAAAGGGAGCGCAGGCGGAGAUGCAAGCGUGACGUCAAAUUUCGGGGCUCAACCCCGUCUCGCGUCGCGAACUGCGUCCCUUGGUUGCGGGAAGGGGAGGCGGAACUCGUGGUGUAGCGGUGAAAUGCAUAGAUAUCACGAAGAACUCCGAUCGCGAAGGCAGCCUUCCGGCCCGUCAACGACGCUCGUGCUCGAAGGUGCGGGUAUCAAACAGGAUUAGAUACCCUGGUAGUCCGCACAGUAAACGAUGGACACCCGCGGUUUGGCCUGUAUGGCUGAGCCGCCAAGCGAAAGCGUUAAGUGUCCCACCUGGGGAGUACGCCGGCAACGGUGAAACUCAAAUGAAUUGACGGGG